This 121-nucleotide small nucleolar RNA is filed under the name Echinops telfairi (small Madagascar hedgehog). RNAcentral describes it as "Small nucleolar RNA SNORA61 (ENSETEG00000026264.1)". The record is from RNAcentral. Lineage: Eukaryota; Metazoa; Chordata; Mammalia; Afrosoricida; Tenrecidae.
ACCCGCCAGGUUCCUUGCCCAUCAGAUUUAACCACGGAUGUCAGCGGCUGCAAAAGGAGAAAAAGUUAAAUUGAAACUGACUAAAAUUCUUUUGUCACACAUGAGUUAGUUUCAAGCAAAA